AUGGGUAACAACUUUAGUCUCUUCAUCCUGGUUCUGUGCAUUCUACAUCUUACCCAUGGCAUACUUGGAGGUAGACCCCAUGCUGGAGAUCAGGAGGAGCUUGGUGUCUCUGGUGGCAACUUAAAGCCAAUCAAUCUGAAGAUGGAUGGUUUGGAUCCACCUCCUGCAAAUGUGUCAACGUUCCCUAAUUAUGGCGUCAGAACUUCCUAUGAUGCAGCAUAUAAAACACAUGUGGCACGGGAUUACUAUGGGAUUGAAGCUACAAUCGACGUAUAUGGUCUCUCUUUGCGUCAAGAUCAACACAGUGGAGCUGCCUUGAUUAUUAAGAAUUCGAAAGCGUUCGAUCGUAACAUGAUUGUUGUUGGAUGGCAUGCAUAUCCAUGGCAGUAUGGUGGUAAUUCAGACGCUCGCUUUUUCACUUACUGGACGAGCGAUAACCAAGGAUGGACGGGCUGCUACGAUUUAACCUGUCCAGGUUAUGUUCCUGAGAAAGGUGCCAUAGUGCCAGGAACUAAACUGAGCCCCGUUUCGAACCCCAAUGGAGCCAAGCAAACCAUCAACCUAAAAGUUUUCAAGGACAAAGCAACGGGAGACUGGCUUGUGCACUGUGGAUUCGGGUCGAAGCCAAAGUUAAUCGGGCGUUUCCCCAAGACCUUGUUCACCACCUUGGCCGACAAGGCAGAUGAGAUACAAGCCCGAGGUUUUGUGCUGACUCAAGCUAGUCCUUUGGCCCCGAUGGGGAGCGGUUUCCGUCCCAACAACGUGAAAGCUGCGUCGUUCAGCAAUAUCCUGUUUCUGGAUCAAGAUGGCAAGAGGUUCGGAGUCCCGCAAGAUUUCACGCCCUACAUGACGAACAACAAGGUGUACUCCGUGUCUCGGAUCAGCCCCAACGGCGGGUUCACCUAUGGCGGGCCGUCUGAAUGA
RNAcentral lists this ribosomal RNA (924 nucleotides) under Triticum aestivum (bread wheat). RNAcentral's name for it is "partial small subunit ribosomal RNA". Lineage: Eukaryota; Viridiplantae; Streptophyta; Magnoliopsida; Poales; Poaceae. The record is from RNAcentral.